RNAcentral lists this long non-coding RNA (666 nucleotides) under Nicotiana benthamiana. Its description in RNAcentral is "long non-coding RNA (NBEN_LNC040663)". Lineage: Eukaryota; Viridiplantae; Streptophyta; Magnoliopsida; Solanales; Solanaceae. The record is from RNAcentral.
UUACUUCGUCUCUCUCAAUACCUCUUGUCUCUCUGAACCUCCACCAUCACCGUUGCUGGAACUCUCUCUACGACGGCGGCGCCAUUCGAAACCUCCUCAAGUUUUCACCAGUCAAUUCCGGUCCUCUUCCCUUUCCGAAUCCCCAACCAAUUCCCUCGAAUCUCCCUUCAAUCACUCCAAUUUCAUAUCUGAGACCAAUCCCUAGUCCACCCAAACCCUCCAUACUCAUACAAUUUCUAACCGGACAAUAUCGGUGAAUUUUAGUUCUAAGAGUCCAAAAGAGACCCUGGUUCAACCUUGUGCAAUUUGUUAGAGUAUUUCGUCCGUAGUGGGUCAGGACUCAUUUAAAUCGAUUGCUCUUGAUAAGAGAAAUUGUUUUGCAUUAGUUUCGACCCAUUUCCAAGUCACCACUAAUGCAUGACCAUUUCGUAGCCUUCUUUGUAAGUUGGAUCGCUCCAGUCGACAAUUCAUUUCGCUUAAAGGAAAACAGUACCCUUCCUCUUUCUUUUCUUUUCCUUUUUUUUAGUGUUUCGAUUUUUUCCUUGUAUUUUGUUUGAAGUAUUUUCUUAUUAUUUAUUUGUUUGAAUGUGCUUUGAGUAUUUAGUUUCUCAAAUAAGUUUUAUUAGCUAUUUGUUUUAGUUAAUGUGGGCAUGUUACUUGUUAGGA